This 163-nucleotide small nuclear RNA is filed under the name Pongo abelii (Sumatran orangutan). RNAcentral describes it as "U2 spliceosomal RNA (ENSPPYG00000026826.2)". It matches the Rfam family "U2 spliceosomal RNA", at positions 24 to 192 of the family's 192-position model. From Rfam's summary of the family: U2 is a small nuclear RNA (snRNA) component of the spliceosome (involved in pre-mRNA splicing). Complementary binding between U2 snRNA (in an area lying towards the 5' end but 3' to hairpin I) and the branchpoint sequence (BPS) of the intron results the bulging out of an unpaired adenosine, on the BPS, which initiates a nucleophilic attack at the intronic 5' splice site, thus starting the first of two transesterification reactions that mediate splicing. Lineage: Eukaryota; Metazoa; Chordata; Mammalia; Primates; Hominidae. The record is from Rfam by way of RNAcentral.
AAAUCAUAUCACUAUUCUUAUCAGUUUAAUAUCUGAUGUGUCCUCUAUUUGGGCAUAAUAUAUAAAAUAAAUUUUUGGAGAAGGGAGAUACAAUAGGAGCUUGUUUCAUCCACUCUAUGCAUUAACCUGGUAUUGCAGUACCUCCAGGAAUGGUGCAACUUCC